UCCUCUACAUCUCAUAUAGGCUUAAAAAGCUUCUUCUCUUUUGAGCAAAUAAAUAAUAAAUAAACAAGUAGCUAGCAACACUACAUUCAUUCUGGCAUCUUUAAGAAAUUGUUGGAUAUAGAUCAUCCAGCAACGGUUUUUUUUCCUUUGGGUUAUACGAGAAGGGUCAAGUAGUAAGGGUCAUCAUUUGAUCCGCGAUCUGUGAGUCGAAAUGGGUAGUCUGAGACUUGAGGGGCCAAAAUUCGAUUCGGCAAUUAGGCUCAAUCAGCCUGAUCUGCUCUAAGGUUGAGUAGGACUUGAGUUCAGGUUUUGAAACUUCUAGCUCGUCCUCCGCCCAGCCUACCAAUGACUUGACCC
RNAcentral lists this long non-coding RNA (357 nucleotides) under Prunus persica (peach). Its description in RNAcentral is "long non-coding RNA (PPER_LNC007522)". The record is from RNAcentral. Lineage: Eukaryota; Viridiplantae; Streptophyta; Magnoliopsida; Rosales; Rosaceae.